UUUGCAGAAGAAUCGGUGAAUCUGAGAUUGGCAGCGUUGGAGGUAGUGAUUGUAUUGUGUGGCUUCUUCUUCUUGGAGACGAAUAGAUCUGUUGGGAUGCCAUCUGAGUUGGGUUGAUAGGAUCCUUGAGCAUGAUCCAUUGGUAAGUGAGAUUUGAUUUUCGUUUUUCUGUAGUUUGAUUGCUUGAAUGCUACUCCAUUUGUCAUGAACUCAUAUGAUGUAUGAACAUCUCUAAUUAUAUACACGUAUGUAUAUGANNNNNNNNNNNNNNNNNNNNNNNNNUAUAUAUAAUAAUUUAUGCAUUAUAAAAUUAUACAUACAAUAUUUUAAAAUGUAAAGUAUUAUGUAUAAAGGAAAUUAUUAUACACGAGUGAGCCGAAAAUAUGUUUAAUGAUCUUAUAAACCUUAGAAAAAUGAUUUUCGAAGGUAAUUGAGUUUCAAAUUUGUUUAAAAAAGCGAAAUUGACUUAUUUAGGUAAUUAACUUUUCGGUUUGUUUACAUCUGGAUAAUUUUUUUUUGUACACGUUUAGAUAACGAACUUUUUAGAAGUGUUCACAUAUAACCAUUAUGAUCGGCUGUAACAAGUUACAUUUAGUCAUAAUGAUCAUAUGUGAACACUUCCAAAAAGUUCGUUACCUAGAUGUGUACAAAAAAAUAAAUUAUCCAAAUGUGAACAAACCAAAAAGUUAAUUACUUUAAUAAAUCAAUUUCUUUUCUUUUUUAUUUUAUCUUUUAAUUUUGAUUUUGUAUAAAAUUUAACCUAAAUGGUAAAAUAUUUUAAAAUCACAUCAUUUUGGUAAAUAUCUUUUUAAAAUACACUACUUUGGUAAAAAAAAAAAAACUUUAGAUUUGACAUGGAAAAAAACACAUGGUCAUUUUACAGAAUUUUAUUGUGUAAGAUAUUAAAUAUAAAAAUUUAAAUUUACUAGAGACUAAAAGUAUUAAAAAUUAAGACCAAUAAUAUAAAAAAAACACACAGUUUGAUGAAUUAAAGCUUCAAAUAUUGUAUAUAGAGUUUCAGGCUUUGAUUUGCAAUUUAACUUAUGGUUUUCAAUUUAUAUAGUUCUUUAUUUUUUCUUUCUGGUAUCAAUUUUCUUUUCCUGCAAGGAUUGUGAUGCAUUGGAUUGUGGUGGUGAAAAAUUCGAUGAAGAGAUAAUGGGUUGUGGUGUUGAUUCAUUGGAGUUGAAUGACCGAAAAAAG
This 1200-nucleotide long non-coding RNA is filed under the name Lactuca sativa (garden lettuce). RNAcentral's name for it is "long non-coding RNA (LSAT_LNC008475)". The record is from RNAcentral. Lineage: Eukaryota; Viridiplantae; Streptophyta; Magnoliopsida; Asterales; Asteraceae.